UACGUAGGGCGCAAGCGUUAUCCGGAAUCAUUGGGCGUAAAGCGCGUGUAGGCGGCUCGAUAAGUCUGCUGUGAAAGUCCAGGGCUCAACCCUGGGAUGCCGGUGGAUACUGUCGGGCUAGAGUGCGGAAGAGGCGAGUGGAAUUCCCGGUGUAGCGGUGAAAUGCGCAGAUAUCGGGAGGAACACCAAUUGCGAAGGCAGCUCGCUGGGACGUAACUGACGCUGAGACGCGAAAGCGUGGGGAGCAAACAGG
Molecule: ribosomal RNA, 253 nt
Filed under: uncultured bacterium
Lineage: Bacteria
Description: partial 16S ribosomal RNA
Rfam family: Bacterial small subunit ribosomal RNA
Source: RNAcentral